This 670-nucleotide long non-coding RNA is filed under the name Amborella trichopoda. RNAcentral's name for it is "long non-coding RNA (ATRI_LNC004186)". Lineage: Eukaryota; Viridiplantae; Streptophyta; Magnoliopsida; Amborellales; Amborellaceae. The record is from RNAcentral.
AAAACUUCCACCAAAGAAAUCCUUCUCUCCCAUUUAUAAACCCCUUCCUCCUAUCCCUAAACUUCCUCCAAAGAAAUCCUUCCCUCCAAUUUACAAACCUAUUCCACCUAUUCCAAAGUUUCCUCCUGUUUACAAAAAGCCAUUGCCUCCACUUCCAAAACUUCCUCCAAAGAAAUCCUUCCCUCCAAUUUAUAAACCUAUUCCACCUGUUCCAAAGUUUCCUCCGGUUUACAAGAAGCCAUUGCCACCAAUUCCAGAACUUCCUCCAAAGAAAUCCUUCCCUCCAAUUUACAAACCUAUUCCACCUAUUCCAAAGUUUCCUCCAUUGCCACCAAUUCCAGAACUUCCUCCAAAGAAAUCCUUCCCUUCAAUUUAUAAACCUAUUCCACCUGUUCCAAAGUUUCCUCCAGUUUACAAGAAGCCAUUGCCACCAAUUCCAGACCUUCCUCCAAUGAAAUCCUUCCCUCCAAUUUACAAACCUAUUCCAUCUGUUCCAAAGCUUCCUCCUGUUUACAAGAAGCCAUUGCCACCAAUUCCAGAACUUCCUCCAAAGAAAUCCUUCCCUCCAUUCUAUAAACCCAUUCCUCCACUACCACCCUUCCCUCCCAUUUACAAGAAGCCCUUUUCCACCUUUUCCUUUCCCUAAGCUCACUUUUCCAAAGUUCCCUCC